RNAcentral lists this ribosomal RNA (1360 nucleotides) under Salmonella enterica subsp. enterica serovar Enteritidis. RNAcentral's name for it is "partial 23S ribosomal RNA". It matches the Rfam family "Bacterial large subunit ribosomal RNA", at positions 214 to 1616 of the family's 2925-position model. The record is from RNAcentral. Lineage: Bacteria; Pseudomonadati; Pseudomonadota; Gammaproteobacteria; Enterobacterales; Enterobacteriaceae.
AGGAAAAGAAAUCAACCGAGAUUCCCCCAGUAGCGGCGAGCGAACGGGGAGGAGCCCAGAGCCUGAAUCAGCAUGUGUGUUAGUGGAAGCGUCUGGAAAGGCGCGCGAUACAGGGUGACAGCCCCGUACACAAAAGCGCAUGUGCUGUGAGCUCGAUGAGUAGGGCGGGACACGUGGUAUCCUGUCUGAAUAUGGGGGGACCAUCCUCCAAGGCUAAAUACUCCUGACUGACCGAUAGUGAACCAGUACCGUGAGGGAAAGGCGAAAAGAACCCCGGCGAGGGGAGUGAAAAAGAACCUGAAACCGUGUACGUACAAGCAGUGGGAGCACCCUUUGGGUGUGACUGCGUACCUUUUGUAUAAUGGGUCAGCGACUUAUAUUCUGUAGCAAGGUUAACCGAAUAGGGGAGCCGGAGGGAAACCGAGUCUUAACCGGGCGUUAAGUUGCAGGGUAUAGACCCGAAACCCGGUGAUCUAGCCAUGGGCAGGUUGAAGGUUGGGUAACACUAACUGGAGGACCGAACCGACUAAUGUUGAAAAAUUAGCGGAUGACCUGUGGCUGGGGGUGAAAGGCCAAUCAAACCGGGAGAUAGCUGGUUCUCCCCGAAAGCUAUUUAGGUAGCGCCUCGUGAAUUCAUCUCCGGGGGUAGAGCACUGUUUCGGCUAGGGGGCCAUCCCGGCUUACCAACCCGAUGCAAACUGCGAAUACCGGAGAAUGUUAUCACGGGAGACACACGGCGGGUGCUAACGUCCGUCGUGAAGAGGGAAACAACCCAGACCGCCAGCUAAGGUCCCAAAGUCAUGGUUAAGUGGGAAACGAUGUGGGAAGGCCCAGACAGCCAGGAUGUUGGCUUAGAAGCAGCCAUCAUUUAAAGAAAGCGUAAUAGCUCACUGGUCGAGUCGGCCUGCGCGGAAGAUGUAACGGGGCUAAACCAUGCACCGAAGCUGCGGCAGCGACACUGUGUGUUGUUGGGUAGGGGAGCGUUCUGUAAGCCUGUGAAGGUGUGUCGUGAGGCAUGCUGGAGGUAUCAGAAGUGCGAAUGCUGACAUAAGUAACGAUAAAGCGGGUGAAAAGCCCGCUCGCCGGAAGACCAAGGGUUCCUGUCCAACGUUAAUCGGGGCAGGGUGAGUCGACCCCUAAGGCGAGGCCGAAAGGCGUAGUCGAUGGGAAACGGGUUAAUAUUCCCGUACUUGGUGUUACUGCGAAGGGGGGACGGAGAAGGCUAUGUUGGCCGGGCGACGGUUGUCCCGGUUUAAGCGUGUAGGUGUGUGUUCCAGGUAAAUCCGGUUCACUUUAACACUGAGGCGUGACGACGAGGCACUACGGUGCUGAAGCAACAAAUGCCCUGCUUCCAGGAAAA